Non-coding RNA from Leptonychotes weddellii (Weddell seal), 2204 nucleotides. NCBI's taxonomy places the organism in Eukaryota, Metazoa, Chordata, Mammalia, Carnivora, Phocidae. The record is from RefSeq and is a predicted model, not a curated record.
UGCCCCUUUCCUGGUGCUUUAUGGUGGCUACGGAAGACCAGUUCGAUUGAGAACUGCUUUUCAGCCUGGAAUCAGACAUCUUCCAGAGGGUUUGGACACUGUCCAUGUGUAGGUCAUUAUCACACAAAGAGACCAAUAAAAAUUUUAAAAAAAGAAACUGUUGGAGGUGGUGGCAAAUGAUGUAUUUACUGUUUGCAGGAUAGUUAAAGGUGUUUAAAGGGUAAGGCUCUUGGCGUAAAUGCUGGUUGGGGUGUAUGUGUAGAUACAGGGACCUCCCUCUGUACUGUGUAAUCGGCAUAAAUACCUAGACCCAUAUGUGUGGAAUCUUAAAAUCUCUUAGCCUACUGAUUGGUUUGUGUAAGCACACCAGCUGCAGAUGUGUGCUGAAAUGCAAGAUGGUUUUUGCAAGGGAUGCCUCUUGUAAUACUAACCGCCUGAUGAUGGGUUUUGGUUUUCAGACAUGUUUUUAAAAAAAUUCUACAAAUGAAUACUCACCUUGGAAAUAUUCACCUUGGCGGGGGGGGGAAAAAGAUUUUGCUCUGCCCUUCUAGAUCCCUUUACGCUGCAAGUGGCAACAUGUUCAGAUUUCUAAUUUGGUUCAUUGUGGCCUAUCUGGUUUAAGUAUUUCAUUAGAAAUGUCUCGUUAGAGUAUUUGAUGUCAUGCACCAAAAAGUAAAACCCCACCUUGUUGCAAAAGCCGACCUCGUUGCAUGGAUUUAAGAGCGAAGGAAAAGCACAAGGAUGAGGUCCUUCCUAAUCCAUUCUUGUGGGAACUGGCCUUCGUAGCAAAUGCAGACAAUGAGUGCUUGAGAUAAAAGAAAGCGUGUGAUGUAAUGAUCACUGUACUCAGGCACUUCACAGUUUACUUGAAAGAGGCUUUGGAAAAUAGAUAAAGCAAAAGAAGAAUAAAUACAUAUUUUUAAUAAUGUAAUUUAAAAAUCCUUUAUAAUCAGGACUGAGUCUUGGUUUGCAGAAGAUGUCAUUUACCCUGAAACACAGUAUCGAAAGGGAAACUUAACACUUAACUGUUUGAUUUUUAUUUCCUCUUAAAAUUCAUGUUUACAGGUAGAAUUAUGUGUAUCACCCCCUCCCCUCACUAUGAGAAAUUUCUUUUACGAAGGAGGCCUAUAGAAAUUGGGCAUGAUCAUGCUUGGGCAUGUGAGUUAGUCAAAUUAUAAAUCCAUGCCUAUUGUCCAUUGCACUCAGAAAGUUAAUUUAAGAACCAGAGGUUGAAGUCCCGGCUUCCUGCUUGAAACCCAAUUCUUAUAGGAAAUAUUGGAAAAGAGGAAACCUAGCCCAUCUUCCUUUUAUCUUUUGUCGGUGAAUUUGGUACCUCUCCAAUGCUGGUCUUUUUGUAGGAACUCAGUAGAGAAAAGAGAGCUAACGAAGUGUGAAAGCCUGCAGGAUUUCGGUUUACAUAUCGACAGCAUAGUCACUGAUUUCUAAAUGGGCUGGUCCCAUCAUCUGAAGAUUCUGUAUAGAGUUAUUAAAAAAAAAAAUCCAUCUUCCUUUAUUUUCUUCACAUGUAACAAUUUCUUAUGCACUUUGACAUUUUGGUAGUUCCACACUAUUGAGAGAAUAAUAUAUUUAUUUUGUGACAUUGCCAAUGCCAAAUACUGUCACCAUCUUGUGCUAACCAUACUUAGGUUCGAGAUCACUGUUCAGAUCCUGUCAUGCUUAACCAACGAAGCGACAUGAUUUUGGGUUUUGCAUUAUCAAGACUUAAGGGUGCAGUCAGCUGUUCGUAAUUGUGCAGUAAAGUAAAGCCCUGUGGUGUGUCCACUAAUAGUUAAGAGUCUCAGUUGAUUUCUGUCAUGUUUGACCUAAUAAUAGCCCAUUUUUUCUCUGACCAAACAGAGGAAGCGCACAUCAGAUCACCUUGGAGUGGUCCUGGGGGAGUUCUCUCCUACAUAUCAUCAGUGAUUUAUUAUACCUCCUGGCCUUUGGAGAAUGAAUGGGUUUCACACCGAGGAAGUUGGCCUCCCCACGUGAGCUUUUGAAAUUGUUUCUCAUAGACACAGGGAGGCCGAUUUUGUUUCAAACGGAUUCUCUUCACAGAUUCUCUGUCAUGGUGUUGGGACGAUGUCUCCUGGUUUCAGUUUUCGUUUCUACUGCUGUAAUUCUCUGUCCUGAACAUUCUUCUGUUCCUGUUCCCUUUUAUAUGCAUAUAUGAUGCUGUGAACAGAAAUAAAUUAUUUAUACAA